GGCACCAUCUACCACAAUGUGCAUUCGUUCGGGCCUAGCUCACGUCCAGAACAUCUGCAGUUGUACUUCUAUGAUGACGACCCAACCAUAAGUCAUCGUAAGGCGGCCACCAAGCAAUUAGACCAGGAUGCCGUGAAGAAGUUAGUACACAUACUCAAAGAAAACCCGUACUCCCAGCAAUUUAGGAGUUUGGGUGCACACAAGGACAACCUCGACUAUUAUAGGAUAGACCUAAACACCGAUAAGAGGCUUGACCAAAGAAGAUAUAAUAGACCGUUGUCAUCUGAGGUCGCUGCA
This 297-nucleotide ribosomal RNA is filed under the name Triticum aestivum (bread wheat). RNAcentral describes it as "partial small subunit ribosomal RNA". The record is from RNAcentral. Lineage: Eukaryota; Viridiplantae; Streptophyta; Magnoliopsida; Poales; Poaceae.